This is a long non-coding RNA of Cygnus olor (mute swan), 334 nucleotides long. RefSeq lists it as uncharacterized. NCBI's taxonomy places the organism in Eukaryota, Metazoa, Chordata, Aves, Anseriformes, Anatidae. The transcript has 3 exons. The record is from RefSeq and is a predicted model, not a curated record.
ACCCACAGCUCUGCAGCCUUCUCUGGAUGCUGUUUCAGGCGAACAGCACGUGAAACAAGCCUGCAGCUGUGACUCUUCAGGCAUUGUAUGCACAACGAGGACAUUCAUGCAGCCGAACGAAAUCUGGAAACAGCCCACUGCAGCAGGAAGAUUUCUGGUUCGCCAGAGAUGUUUUGCUUUCCUCCUUCUUGCCUGUCCUGAAAUUUAAGAAGUUCCUGGUGUGAGCAAAGGACGGAUCUGUUGGAAGGGACAGAUGUGGACUGUUAUUUAUUUGUAGGCCUGAAGGCCUUUGAUACCAUUUUGUGGCAGAACAUUUUCAUUUUUAUCUCCUUGA